Molecule: ribosomal RNA, 234 nt
Filed under: uncultured bacterium
Lineage: Bacteria
Description: partial 16S ribosomal RNA
Rfam family: Bacterial small subunit ribosomal RNA
Source: RNAcentral
AGCAAUCUGCCUUUGGAUGGGGGAUAACAGCCGGAAACGACUGCUAAUACCGCAUGAUGCAGCGAGACCGCAUGAUUUUGCUGCCAAAGAUUUAUCGUCCAAAGAUGAGCUCGCGUCUGAUUAGCCAGUUGGCGGGGUAACGGCCCACCAAAGCGACGAUCAGUAGCCGGACUGAGAGGUUGAACGGCCACAUUGGGACUGAGACACGGCCCAGACUCCUACGGGAGGCAGCAG